This 439-nucleotide ribosomal RNA is filed under the name uncultured Desulfobulbus sp. RNAcentral's name for it is "bacterial SSU rRNA". It matches the Rfam family "Bacterial small subunit ribosomal RNA", at positions 948 to 1382 of the family's 1533-position model. Lineage: Bacteria; Pseudomonadati; Thermodesulfobacteriota; Desulfobulbia; Desulfobulbales; Desulfobulbaceae. The record is from RNAcentral.
AAUUCGAAGCAACGCGAAGAACCUUACCUGGUCUUGGCAUCCCGGAGACCCUUAGGAAACUAGGGGUGCUUCCAUCUGGAAGAAUCUGGAGACAGGUGCUGCAUGGCUGUCGUCAGCUCGUGUCGUGAGAUGUUGGGUUAAGUCCCGCAACGAGCGCAACCCUUGCCUUUAGUUGCCAGCAGUUCGGCUGGGCACUCUAAAGGGACUGCCGGUGUUAAACCGGAGGAAGGUGGGGAUGACGUCAAGUCCUCAUGGCCUUUAUGACCAGGGCUACACACGUACUACAAUGGCCGAUACAAAGGGCAGCGACACUGCGAGGUGAAGCCAAUCCCGUAAAAUCGGUCUCAGUCCGGAUUGGAGUCUGCAACUCGACUCCAUGAAGUUGGAAUCGCUAGUAAUCGUGGAUCAGCAUGCCACGGUGAAUACGUUCCCGGGCCUU